CGGAAAUUCUGAUACUCAUAAUUAUAUGAUACAUAAAUAAUUUUAUCGGUCAUUAAGUUUAUCAUUUGCAUAUGAAAAAACAAAAGGUUUAUUUUGCGGAACAAUGGUUUAUUAUUUGUGUGUACCAACUACCAAUUAAUAUUCAUGAGUCAUAAUUAAGUUAGAAUGGUCUCAGUUUAAUUUAUGAAAGAAGUCGCAUAAUCAAGAUUUUAUAGGCCAACAAAGGUUAAGUCCGUAUGUAGCACCAGUUUUUCAGGCAAAUAUCUCCUCUUGACUUACAAACUAGAAAUAACUUGUAUUUUGUUGCGGAAAACAAUAUAAUGCUAACGGGUGAGCAAACCAUAGCAAAAAAGGAACCGAAAAGAAACGCUUUAGGAGUGGCAAUGUACUAUAUACUCCAGCAUCCUAUUUUGUUCAUGCUCGACUCUGCUUGCCUAUCAUCUUCUAUUCUUUUGCAAUGUGCAAACCCUUCAGUCUUGCACCUGCAAACCUGCCACCACCAUGAUUCAUGAGGUUUUAUUAGAACUUAGAAGAGGACAAUCCUUAAUCAGUAGACAUUUCAAAAAUGCAGAUCUGAAACACACUAAGUAGACAUGAAAAGCAAUCAAAUGUCUGAAAUUCGCCAGAUAAUAUAGUUACAUUCUCGAAAUUGAAAAAGUAUGAAUGUAAGAAGAAAAUAAAGUGGGUACAUCUGUACAUAGUUGUUCAUGUAUUCAUCGAGCAGCUUGUCUAUCCUGUAAUAGCAGGCAUCCCACAAGAAGUUAAGCUCAACGGUUAAGUUCCUUCUGUUGGACAAUUGUCUGCAAAGGUUAUCAGAUAGAUUAAUUAUCAUGCACAGAAAUUAGAGCAAAAGAGUGAAUUCGAGACAAAAAUCCUCAAUUCUGGUGUUCCGGAAUCAUCAAUCUCCAACACUCCAUUCCAAAAAGCUUUUUCCUGCUAACCAGAGCCUAAAGCUUUAGCAAUUUUUAACGCAGUUCGUGAUCAAAUGAAAGGUUCUCCCAGCAGAAUAAAGGGCACAUUUAGUAUUAUCCACAAAUAAAUCGUCAUAUAUAGAGUUAUAAAGAGCAAAUCCAUCAACCUUCAUAUGACUGUAUGAGUUGGUUAAAUACCCUACUAAGAAUAAGCUUAUGGAAAAGUUUCCAAAAUGGCAGCUUACUUGAAUACAAAUGAAGAAAGGUAAGGAUCAUGGGGGUUUCACUAUACACAUACAACAAUAGGAGUUACAAUGUUAAGAUUGAAACCAAAACUGACAUAAAUAUUAGUAAGCAGAACAGCUAGCAAGGGAGAUAAAAACACUCACAAUAAGUUAAUUCUGCAACUCUGCCUCCUUUGUGAAUGUUCAUAAUUGUUUAACAGCAAGUACAACCAUAUUAUCAACCUAUCUCCAUAAAUAAAAACGUUAGCAUGAUAUCUAAUUGGAACCGGAUACAAUUAUCAACAGAGAUCAGAAAUUAAAACCAUGAGUAAAACCAGAGGUGAGUAUUGGGAUGAUCGAUUCCACGUCGCAGUUUUCGAAUCAACUCCAGGCUUGCUCCGCAAUAGAAACUGAGUUUGCUUAUGGAUCCAACCGUUACAUGGUUACAAAUGGAAGUUCCAGAAAGUAAUCGAAAUGGGUAAAAUUCAAACCCUAACAACAAAUGACAAACUUGCAACGAUGCAAUGGCCACAACCUCUGCGUGAGCAGACAAAACUGGAAUGAAAAGAGACAAGGGAUACUCCACCAAUAGUUGAAAGGAAAUAUCAAUAGCUACUCUACCUCGUAGCUGCUACUCCAUCGUCACUAGAGGGAUCUGGCGAUCUCCCCUAUUAGAGAUGAGACUCUAAUAGUUAAAAGGAGACACCUAUAGCUCCACUUGCUUUCUCUAUCAUCUAUGGUCUGAUGGUAUUAUGGAGAUCUGGAGUGGUGAGAUGAAGUUGAAGAAAAAGAGGAGGAGAGAGGGCUUGCGUGUUAGACAGAGCGAUAUGACCGAUUAGCAAUAGCUUAGAGGCUGAGUUACCAGAAAGUGGGGUUGGCCAUCACCAUCACAAUUGGAGAAAUAAGAAUCCCAAUUGAACGGCUACGGAGCCCAC
RNAcentral lists this long non-coding RNA (2070 nucleotides) under Linum usitatissimum (flax). RNAcentral's name for it is "long non-coding RNA (LUSI_LNC004601)". Lineage: Eukaryota; Viridiplantae; Streptophyta; Magnoliopsida; Malpighiales; Linaceae. The record is from RNAcentral.